ACUCCGCUGACGACCGGCGCACGGGUGCGCACCGCGUAUGGAACCUGCCUCUUGCAGGGGAAUAGCCCAGGGAAACUUGGAUUAAUGCCCCGUAGUAUCAUUACACCGCCUGGUGUUUUGAUUAAAGGCUUCGGCCGGCAAGAGAUGGCCAUGCGUCCCAUUAGUUAGAUGGUAAGGUAACGGCUUACCAUGACUACGAUGGGUAGGGGCCCUGAGAGGGGGAUCCCCCACACUGGUACUGAGACACGGACCAGACUCCUACGGGAGGCAGCAGUGAGGAAUAUUGGACAAUGGAGGAGACUCUGAUCCAGCCAUGCCGCGUGCAGGAAGACGGCCCUAUGGGUUGUAAACUGCUUUUAUACGGGAAGAAAAAGGGCUACGUGUAGCCCCCUGACGGUACCGUAAGAAUAAGGACCGGCUAACUCCGUGCCAGCAGCCGCGGUAAUACGGAGGGUCCGAGCGUUAUCCGGAAUUAUUGGGUUUAAAGGGUCCGUAGGCGGGCCAUUAAGUCAGGGGUGAAAGUCUGCAGCUCAACUGUAGAAUUGCCUUUGAUACUGGUGGUCUUGAGUUAUGGUGAAGUGGCUGGAAUAUGUAGUGUAG
Molecule: ribosomal RNA, 600 nt
Filed under: Maribacter polysiphoniae
Lineage: Bacteria; Pseudomonadati; Bacteroidota; Flavobacteriia; Flavobacteriales; Flavobacteriaceae
Description: bacterial SSU rRNA
Rfam family: Bacterial small subunit ribosomal RNA
Source: RNAcentral